RNAcentral lists this non-coding RNA (23 nucleotides) under Cricetulus griseus (Chinese hamster). Lineage: Eukaryota; Metazoa; Chordata; Mammalia; Rodentia; Cricetidae. The record is from RNAcentral.
AGUAUGAGGCACUUGAAAAACUU